AGUGAACGCUGGCGGUAGGCCUAACACAUGCAAGUCGAACGGCAGUACAGGAGAGCUUGCUCUCUGGGUGGCGAGUGGCGGACGGGUGAGGAAUACAUCGGAAUCCACUCUGUCGUGGGGGAUAACGUAGGGAAACUUACGCUAAUACCGCAUACGACCUACGGGUGAAAGCAGGGGACCUUCGGGCCUUGCGCGAUUGAAUGAGCCGAUGUCGGAUUAGCUAGUUGGCGGGGUAAAGGCCCACCAAGGCGACGAUCCGUAGCUGGUCUGAGAGGAUGAUCAGCCACACUGGAACUGAGACACGGUCCAGACUCCUACGGGAGGAAGCAGUGGGGAAUAUUGGACAAUGGGCGCAAGCCUGAUUCAGCCAUACCGCGUGGGUGAAGAAGGCCUUCGGGUUGUAAAGCCCUUUUGUUGGGAAAGAAAUCCAGCUGGCUAAUACCCGGUUGGGAUGACGGUACCCAAAGAAUAAGCACCGGCUAACUUCGUGCCAGCCGCCGCCGUAA
RNAcentral lists this ribosomal RNA (506 nucleotides) under uncultured bacterium. RNAcentral describes it as "partial 16S ribosomal RNA". It matches the Rfam family "Bacterial small subunit ribosomal RNA", at positions 29 to 523 of the family's 1533-position model. The record is from RNAcentral.